UACGUAGGGUGCGAGCGUUGUCCGGAAUUACUGGGCGUAAAGAGCUCGUAGGUGGUUUGUCGCGUUGUUCGUGAAAACCUGAGGCUUAACCUUGGGCGUGCGGGCGAUACGGGCAGACUGGAGUACUGCAGGGGAGACUGGAAUUCCUGGUGUAGCGGUGGAAUGCGCAGAUAUCGGGAGGAACACCAGUGGCGAAGGCGGCGAUCUGGGAAGAUACUGACGCUGAGGUGCGAAAGCGUGGGGAGCAAACAGG
This 253-nucleotide ribosomal RNA is filed under the name uncultured bacterium. RNAcentral describes it as "partial 16S ribosomal RNA". It matches the Rfam family "Bacterial small subunit ribosomal RNA", at positions 524 to 776 of the family's 1533-position model. The record is from RNAcentral.